Molecule: ribosomal RNA, 253 nt
Filed under: uncultured bacterium
Lineage: Bacteria
Description: partial 16S ribosomal RNA
Rfam family: Bacterial small subunit ribosomal RNA
Source: RNAcentral
UACGGAGGGGGCAAGCGUUGUCCGGAUUUACUGGGCGUAAAGAGCGCGUAGGCGGAACGUUAAGUCCGAUCUGAAAGCCCCCGGCUCAACCGGGGAGGGUGGUUGGAAACUGGCGUUCUUGAGGGCGAUAGAGGAAGGUGGAAUUCCUGGUGUAGCGGUGAAAUGCGUAGAGAUCAGGAGGAACACCAGUGGCGAAGGCGGCCUUCUGGGUCGACCCUGACGCUGAGGCGCGAAAGCGUGGGGAGCGAACGGG